GGUGUGUGAAUGCCGCCCAGCCGGCGCAU
This 29-nucleotide small RNA is filed under the name Bombyx mori (domestic silkworm). Its description in RNAcentral is "ovarian small RNA-17582". Lineage: Eukaryota; Metazoa; Arthropoda; Insecta; Lepidoptera; Bombycidae. The record is from RNAcentral.